UACCCCUAGCAAAUCUCAAAAAACCGUCUCAGUUCAGAUUGUCCUCUGCAACUCGAGGGCAUGAAGCUGGAAUCGCUAGUAAUCGCAGAUCAGCACGCUGCGGUGAAUACGUUCCCGGGCCUUGUACACACCGCCCGUCACACCACGAAAGCUUGUUGUACCUGAAGUCGCCCAAGCCAACCGCAAGGAGGCAGGCGCCCACGGUAUGGUCAGCGACUGGGGUGAAG
RNAcentral lists this ribosomal RNA (227 nucleotides) under uncultured Nitrobacter sp. Its description in RNAcentral is "partial 16S ribosomal RNA". It matches the Rfam family "Bacterial small subunit ribosomal RNA", at positions 1259 to 1485 of the family's 1533-position model. The record is from RNAcentral. Lineage: Bacteria; Pseudomonadati; Pseudomonadota; Alphaproteobacteria; Hyphomicrobiales; Nitrobacteraceae.